Long non-coding RNA from Asparagus officinalis (garden asparagus), 1031 nucleotides. RefSeq lists it as uncharacterized. Lineage: Eukaryota; Viridiplantae; Streptophyta; Magnoliopsida; Asparagales; Asparagaceae. The record is from RefSeq and is a predicted model, not a curated record. The transcript has 3 exons.
GUCUCCAACUACAGCCGCCAACCCACUUCGGCACUCCGCCUACCACGCUCCCCCUUCUCUCUCUCUACAAUCCAAUCUCACACACACUCUCUCCUCUCUUUCUCACCAACGCCAAGUGGUUCCUCACCAACGCCCCCGACGGCGAGAUCCAGUACGUCGCCAAAGUAGGUUGUUUGAUUGCUGAUGGCGUCGAAGAGGAUUUUGAAGGAGUUGAAGGACUUGCAGAAGGAUCCUCCAACCUCAUGCAGUGCAGGACAUGCACGCUGCUAUUGGAGCUUCAUUAAACUCAAAUUUAGCUUAAUUAUGACCCAAGCUACAUCAUUGGGACCUAAGGAGAAAGAGGAGUCCUAAUUGAAGGUCAGUCAAAUCAAAUUGACAUCCUGCAUACUCAUUUGUUUGAGUUAGUGCUCAGGGAAGCUUUCGUUUGAAUUCUGCUGUAUGUUUCUAUUGUUUUUGUAAUAAUACAAAUGUAGAGGUCAUUUUUUAAAAGACGUCCUGAAAACCCCAUCCAUAUGACUGGUUGUCAUAACAGUCUGAUAUGAAGUCCACACUUGCCUUAGACACACAUUCUACGAUGCCAAAUUUUGUUUUUCUCAUUUCGUUAGACCCUGCUUGAGAUAUUCAAUAAUACCCUUUUUAGUAGCCAUAAGUAAUUAACUAGAACCCCACAAUAAUAAAUGACACAAAUUACAAACUAGCAAACUUGUGGGGCCCUAGGAAAGCAUGUGCACCCAAUAAUGGCAGUUGCGUGCCACUUAGAGAAACCGUUAACGACAAUAUAUUUUUGGAAUGAGAGGAAUUGCCAUAAAGCAAUCUAUACAUUAGAGUUUGCACUAAAAAGAAGAAAAAUCAUCUCUCCUACAUUCCAUAUCCAUAUAACCAUACUUGAGCGUGUAAGAGACUCCCCGAGUUGUGAGAGUUUGUUUCCUUCCUUCCAAUAAUGGAUUCCCAAAGAUGAAUUAAGAGUCUUCAUGUAUUGCCAGCCAAGUAGAAAUAAUCUUUGAAAAAUUGAACAAAGCUUCAAAUAUAUA